GGAGAAGAGAGGCGGCAUUCAAUUCAAGUGUGGAGUAAGUUCAGACUCCAUUUAGAGGAACACUGAAGGCUGAAGCAGGACUGACUGAAGUCAGAAGAUGGAGAAAGAGUCUGCAGCAUCCAGCUGUCUGUCUAUGGAGAGUGAUCGGUCCAGAGGUGAACCUCCAAACUUCAGUGAAGAACCUGGACCCUCAGACACACAGAGAGGCUUCAUCAGUCGACAGGAUGAAUAUAAAUGUCCAUCUGUACAGAGACUCAAAGAUGAUGUUGGUCUGCAGGAGGUUUUAGAUGAACAUAAGAUCAGUCUGAGGAGGAGAUGUGAACA
This is a long non-coding RNA of Mugil cephalus (flathead mullet), 324 nucleotides long. RefSeq lists it as uncharacterized. NCBI's taxonomy places the organism in Eukaryota, Metazoa, Chordata, Actinopteri, Mugiliformes, Mugilidae. The record is from RefSeq and is a predicted model, not a curated record. The transcript is spliced from 3 exons.